CCUGGCUCAGAUUGAACGCUGGCGGCAGGCCUAACACAUGCAAGUCGAGCGCGAAAGGCCUUCGGGUUGAGUAGAGCGGCGGACGGGUGAGUAACGCGUAGGAAUCUACCUGGUAGUGGGGGACAACUUGUGGAAACGCAAGCUAAUACCGCAUACGACCUAAGGGUGAAAGUGGGGGACCUUCGGGCCUCACGCUAUCGGAUGAGCCUGCGUAGGAUUAGCUUGUUGGUGAGGUAAAGGCUCACCAAGGCGACGAUCCUUAGCUGGUCUGAGAGGAUGAUCAGCCACACUGGAACUGAGACACGGUCCAGACUCCUACGGGAGGCAGCAGUGGGGAAUAUUGCGCAAUGGGCGAAAGCCUGACGCAGCCAUGCCGCGUGUGUGAAGAAGGCCUUCGGGUUGUAAAGCACUUUCAAUUGGGAAGAAAAGCUCAACGUUAAUAGCGUUGAGCCCUGACAUUACCUUUAGAAGAAGCACCGGCUAACUCCGUG
Molecule: ribosomal RNA, 491 nt
Filed under: uncultured bacterium
Lineage: Bacteria
Description: bacterial SSU rRNA
Rfam family: Bacterial small subunit ribosomal RNA
Source: RNAcentral